Molecule: ribosomal RNA, 495 nt
Filed under: uncultured bacterium
Lineage: Bacteria
Description: partial 16S ribosomal RNA
Rfam family: Bacterial small subunit ribosomal RNA
Source: RNAcentral
GACGAACGCUGGCGGCGUGCCUAAUACAUGCAAGUAGAACGCUGAAGGAGGAGCUUGCUUCUCUGGAUGAGUUGCGAACGGGUGAGUAACGCGUAGGUAACCUGCCUGGUAGCGGGGGAUAACUAUUGGAAACGAUAGCUAAUACCGCAUAAGAGUAGAUGUUGCAUGACAUUUGCUUAAAAGGUGCAAUUGCAUCACUACCAGAUGGACCUGCGUUGUAUUAGCUAGUUGGUGGGGUAACGGCUCACCAAGGCGACGAUACAUAGCCGACCUGAGAGGGUGAUCGGCCACACUGGGACUGAGACACGGCCCAGACUCCUACGGGAGGCAGCAGUAGGGAAUCUUCGGCAAUGGACGGAAGUCUGACCGAGCAACGCCGCGUGAGGGAAGAAGGUUUUCGGAUCGUAAAGCUCUGUUGUAAGAGAAGAACGAGUGUGAGAGUGGAAAGGUCACACUGUGACGGUAUCUUACCAGAAAGGGACGGCUAACUACGUG